Ostrea edulis (European flat oyster) is the source of this 159-nucleotide long non-coding RNA. RefSeq lists it as uncharacterized. Lineage: Eukaryota; Metazoa; Mollusca; Bivalvia; Ostreida; Ostreidae. The record is from RefSeq and is a predicted model, not a curated record. The transcript is spliced from 2 exons.
UACGAAUUUUUAAGGUACGAGUUAUCAAAAUAAAUGCUAGAAGCCAUGUGGCUGAAACAUUGUUUACCUGUGGAAUUUUUGGAAGUUUAAGGGAAAUUACAGUUCUUUUACCACAUGCCAUCUCACAUAUUCGUCCUUGUCAAUAAAGACAUCAGUUUA